GUACACACCGCCCGUCGCUAUUACCGAUUGAGUGUAAAGGUGAACCUUCUCGAUAGACGCAAGUUUAGAAAUCAAGUAAACCUUUGCACUUAGAGGAAAUAAAAGUCGUAACAAGGUUUCCGUAGGUGAACCUGCAGAAGGAUCA
Molecule: ribosomal RNA, 145 nt
Filed under: uncultured eukaryote
Lineage: Eukaryota
Description: partial small subunit ribosomal RNA
Rfam family: Eukaryotic small subunit ribosomal RNA
Source: RNAcentral